GAGGCCAAACCUCAAUGAGUACAAUCUUCGUUUACUCCAAGACAUAGAUUGACUUUAUAUAGUACGAGUCAAUUUAAUAACCUCUCUUGUAGUUGGAA
Prochlorococcus marinus str. MIT 9215 is the source of this 98-nucleotide non-coding RNA. The record is from Rfam. NCBI's taxonomy places the organism in Bacteria, Bacillati, Cyanobacteriota, Cyanophyceae, Synechococcales, Prochlorococcaceae.